AUCCACCUGAUGAGUCCCAAACAGGACGAAACGUGCAUCCUGGAU
RNAcentral lists this non-coding RNA (45 nucleotides) under Trichobilharzia regenti. Lineage: Eukaryota; Metazoa; Platyhelminthes; Trematoda; Strigeidida; Schistosomatidae. The record is from RNAcentral.